Cucumis melo (muskmelon) is the source of this 608-nucleotide long non-coding RNA. RefSeq lists it as uncharacterized. The record is from RefSeq and is a predicted model, not a curated record. NCBI's taxonomy places the organism in Eukaryota, Viridiplantae, Streptophyta, Magnoliopsida, Cucurbitales, Cucurbitaceae. The transcript is spliced from 4 exons.
UGAAGCCCCCUUCUCUCUCUAGAACUUCUCUUCCGCUCACUCUCUCUCUCGCACGCCGGCCACGGCGCAACUUGUCGUCGACAACGCGACCGAAAACCCAAAGUCACCGAUUCUCCCUCUGUCUCACCGAUAUUUCUCUCUUCUCUUAUCAACCAUCACCGUCCAUUGAUCGGAGUACGUUCGAUGCAUUUGCCACCAUCAAACUCGAGGUCGGAAGUUUUGGUUGGAAUUUACUGCUGUCCAGCGGAAGUUCGGAAUUAGGCAUUUUGGCACAACUUGGGCUAGAUCGAAGUGGGAAAGGCGUAAAAUCCCGGGGGAUUGAGUAAUUGAUUGUUGCGAACCAAAGGCCAAGUGUUGAUUUAACGCUCGUCAUUAGUCGUAGAUCUCCAUUAUGCUUGUAUGUUUAUAGUAAAUUUUUGCAUCAUGGAGUAGUUAGAUGUGAUAAGAGUGAGGUUAAAAACUUGUGUUGAAUUUCCCUCUUAGAACGAAAUCAUGUGUAUGUAACUUUUAAGCUGAUUGUGAACUUUACUGAAACUCUGAAACUGUUUGAAUAAGUGUGUGGUGAGACACACUUGCGGCGUUAUGGAGUUUUAAAGUUAAGUUACAUA